UUGAAUAUAGGAUAUGAUAGUAAUUAGUAAAACCACUGGCUGUUAAUAGUACGGAUUCUUAUUAAUCCGCCCCGAACUUGAACCCGACCCGUUUGGAUUCCUUAUUUUGAAAAUUAAACCCUAUGUAUACAGAUUACAGACUAGAGAGAAACGAGAGUGAACAAGAUUUGAGUUUGAACGUGAAAUCAAGCUGCAUGUCAAUUGUCAAUAAGGUGCAAAAUUACUCUUUUUUUUUUUCUUUUAAACAUGUCUGUAAUAUUUUGCUGCCAAGUUCGAAUUUAUGUUUAGGUUUUCAUGAUUUGUUUUGUUUGUUAUUUUCUUUAUUAGAUAUAUUUAUUAAAAAAUGUCGUUCAAUUUGGUACUUUCGUGUGGUGGUGUAAGGUUGAUUUGAUUUUUGUUUUUGUUAUAUUGUAAAGAAAUAUUUAUUGAUACUCAAAAUAGUUUAUACAAAAGUGGAUUUUAAGGUGUUUUACUCCAUAUAAUGUUUCCUACUUUCCUUGGUUUGUAUGUUUCAAUUGUUAAGCUCUGUUGGUAUACUGGAUUUUGUUUGCAGGUCUGACUGACUGAUCAUGCAAUCGUCGUCCGUUCACCUGUUUUCGACCACUACGAGACCUUAUUAGGCUUUAGUACAAUUUUGUUGAAACCUUCACACUCACAAAACUUAGAGACUCAUAGUUGUUAUUGGUGCAAUUAUGAAGAGGUGUUGUCACUACCAAAAAACAGGGUUUUUACGACGGCUCUAAAAUUCAAUUUGCGACGGCCUAAGGCAGUCAUGAUGUUUGUGACAGGUUAAAGCUGUCGUAAAACUUAAAAACCAUCGCAAUUUCUCGGUUUCUAGAAUUUUCUUUUAGGAAAGAAAUACCGACGGCUAUUUAACAGUCGCUGUAGCGACGAGCUUUGCCUGUCGCCCAAAGAUUUCGUCGCUCAUAAGUUAAAAUUUUUAAGUUAGCCGUCGAAACAAAUCACUAAAAACUGGGCGUCAAUAUUUUAACUUUCCCUCUAAUAUUUUUAUAGAUUUUUAUUUAGCGAACUCCCUCAGAAGUCGGACCAUUGUCUAGGGUUUUCUGCCUCUCUCUCUAUCCCCCUUUGGGCUCUGGUAUGUAAAUUCAAUUUCCCACAAAUCGUUCUUUACAGAUCUAUCUUCUUAAGUUCUUUUACUCAUUUUGUUAGGGUUUUUCAGACAAUUAAUAAACUGAAGAAAAAUCGACUUCUCAGAGGUACUCUCUCUGUCUCUUUAACCCAACUCAUUAUUUUCAUGAUUAAUUGAAAAAGCGAGUCAAUUUCAUUGUUGACAUAGGGUAUUGCUUUGUACUAGUUUUUUAAAAAUCUUAUCUUCUUGAUAUUAUGUUGUUUGAUAAAUCCAAAUUAGGCACUAAAUUUUUAUUAUUUUGCUUAAAUUAGGUGUAGACUUCAUGUCCAAGUUUAAUUAGGCUCAGUUGUCUUUGUCAUCCAUGGACUUUAUAUUUGUUAGGAUCUUAAUUGUGUAUUGUUUUAUUUUUUUUAAUUGUAAUUGUAAUUGUUGACAUUUGAGAGGUAGUAUUGCUCUAAAGGUUUGAAUUUUGAAUUUUUUUUAAGCUUAGGAAAAAGCUCUGUCCUGCUUAUCUUUCUUUUUUUCCCAUACCAAGUAAAUAGACGUGUCUUCACCUUUGCUAUGAGUUUGUCCACAUCAUUUUGUUGCUACAAGAACUCUCAUUUCUCGAUGGCAUGACUCCAAGCUCUCUGCGAUAUAAAGAACCAGAUGGAGAUGCCUUCCAUCAGUUGGUAAUAGGUUGUUUCCUAGACACUUUAAGUUGGCUAUGGUAUGGACUUUAAAAAUAAGGUAUAAUAAUGUAAGUAAUGUUCUCUUAAUUUGAAGUUUUUUCCAUAUAUAUGCUUCUAGUUACAGUGUAGUUUGUAUUUGGGUGAUGGAUUGAGAGUUCCACACUGCAGAUUAACAAAGAGCUGAAGCUGCUUUCUUGGUGAUGAUUUUUGGAGUGCAAAUGCACAUCAGAUGUUCCCAUUGAUCAGGCAUGCAUACAAUCUGAUUUGUUAAUUUUUUUCUUAAAGCUAAAUGGAUUUGCAUCUUUCUAGAAAUUUUUUUCUUAAAGCUAAAUGGAUUUGCAUCUUUCGAAGUUAUUUUCU
Molecule: long non-coding RNA, 2121 nt
Filed under: Aquilegia coerulea
Lineage: Eukaryota; Viridiplantae; Streptophyta; Magnoliopsida; Ranunculales; Ranunculaceae
Description: long non-coding RNA (ACOE_LNC001178)
Source: RNAcentral